RNAcentral lists this long non-coding RNA (666 nucleotides) under Physcomitrium patens. RNAcentral describes it as "long non-coding RNA (PPAT_LNC009503)". The record is from RNAcentral. Lineage: Eukaryota; Viridiplantae; Streptophyta; Bryopsida; Funariales; Funariaceae.
AAAAUAGUCAUAGAUAUAAGGUUAUUCAAUUCAUUUUGUAAUAAUAUCAAUAUUAACCUCAAAGUUAUUUUUAAGAUAGUUAAAAAUGUAAGAUUGUCUAAUUUAUUUGAAAAUCAUACCAAACUUGAACAUCUGUCAAGGAUAAGAACUUGAUAAAGACAAAUAAACAAGUGACACUUCUCUCAAAGAAAGAUGACAAAAUAGAAAUAACUCAAUAUGUAUAUUAAGAAAGAAACUGGAAUGGUUAUUGUCAAAAGAUAAGAAAACUAGAGACCCUUGAAACUAGACUAGAAGCAAGAAAGGAGUUGAUAAGAGUGAAGAGGGCUUCAUUCUUGUCUUUAUAUAUACUAUCUAAUUAGGGGCUAUGUGGCGAUGUUCUAUAGGAACUCCAAUAUGUGUUGACUUUGUAAGACACAUGCCUUGAUUAACAAGGCAAGUUUUUCUACAUGUCGGCCACAUAAUUAGCUUAGUCUUCAAGUUAACAUGUGUGAUACAUGGCCAAAUUCUUGACCACGUUUUUAAUCCAAAAAAUCAAUUAAAGACACCUUUAAAGUCAAAGUAGAAUCUAUAAAGCUUCUAUAGUAAAUAUUAUAGAAUUAACUUACUUUUAUAUACUUUUACUUACUUCUACUUAUUUACAUAUGUAAUUGCUGGCUUACAUGCAUA